UAUCAGAGACUCAGUAAA
Molecule: unclassified non-coding RNA, 18 nt
Filed under: Mus musculus (house mouse)
Lineage: Eukaryota; Metazoa; Chordata; Mammalia; Rodentia; Muridae
Description: oocyte_clustered_small_RNA12053
Source: RNAcentral